Molecule: unclassified non-coding RNA, 203 nt
Filed under: Hevea brasiliensis (rubber tree)
Lineage: Eukaryota; Viridiplantae; Streptophyta; Magnoliopsida; Malpighiales; Euphorbiaceae
Source: RNAcentral
CAGCUUUUAUAAUUUGUUAUAGGUAUCUUGGGCACUGAUAAAAAAAAAUUAAUUAAGACUUAAAAUACAAUAAGUAAUCAUAAAAGAUCCCAAUAAUGUUAAUUAUUUCCAAAGGGCAAUAAAAAUGUAAGACCUAGAAAUUAUGAUUUGCAGAUAUUAAUUCAAUUGUUUAGUUAUUAUUAUUAUAAAUUAUGCACCACUAA